RNAcentral lists this transfer RNA (78 nucleotides) under Aneurinibacillus aneurinilyticus. Its description in RNAcentral is "tRNA-Val". It matches the Rfam family "tRNA". Rfam says of the family: Transfer RNA (tRNA) molecules are approximately 80 nucleotides in length. Their secondary structure includes four short double-helical elements and three loops (D, anti-codon, and T loops). Lineage: Bacteria; Bacillati; Bacillota; Bacilli; Caryophanales; Paenibacillaceae. The record is from RNAcentral.
GGACACAUUUCGGAGAAAAUAACGUAAUUUACGUUGACAUCGUAGAGGUCGUUGGUUCGAAUCCAAUUGAGUCCACCA